Potamilus streckersoni is the source of this 77-nucleotide non-coding RNA. NCBI's taxonomy places the organism in Eukaryota, Metazoa, Mollusca, Bivalvia, Unionida, Unionidae. The record is from the annotation of a GenBank genome assembly.
AACUACUUCAGUGGCCUAGUGGUUAGAGCAUCCACCUCGGAUGCGGGAGGUCAUGGGUUCGAUCCUCAGCUGUGUCA